This 1183-nucleotide ribosomal RNA is filed under the name Brachybacterium paraconglomeratum. RNAcentral's name for it is "bacterial SSU rRNA". It matches the Rfam family "Bacterial small subunit ribosomal RNA", at positions 40 to 1265 of the family's 1533-position model. Lineage: Bacteria; Bacillati; Actinomycetota; Actinomycetes; Micrococcales; Dermabacteraceae. The record is from RNAcentral.
CGGGGGGGCUAGCGUACCAUGCAGUCGAACGAUGACGGUGGUGCUUGCACCGCCUGAUUAGUGGCGAACGGGUGAGUAACACGUGAGUAACCUGCCCUCCACUUCGGGAUAACCUCGGGAAAUCGUGGCUAAUACCGGAUAUGAGCACUCAUCGCAUGGUGGGUGUUGGAAAGAUUUAUCGGUGGGGGAUGGACUCGCGGCCUAUCAUUUUGUUGGUGAGGUGAUGGCUCACCAAGACGAUGACGGGUAGCCGGCCUGAGAGGGCGACCGGCCACACUGGGACUGAGACACGGCCCAGACUCCUACGGGAGGCAGCAGUGGGGAAUAUUGCACAAUGGGCAAAAGCCUGAUGCAGCGACGCCGCGUGGGGGAUGACGGCCUUCGGGUUGUAAACCCCUUUCAGUAGGGAAGAAGCGAGAGUGACGGUACCUGCAAAAGAAGCGCCGGCUAACUACGUGCCAGCAGCCGCGGUAAUACGUAGGGCGCAAGCGUUGUCCGGAAUUAUUGGGCGUAAAGAGCUUGUAGGUGGCUUGUCGCGUCUGCCGUGAAAACCCGAGGCUCAACCUCGGGCGUGCGGUGGGUACGGGCAGGCUAGAGUGUGGUAGGGGAGACUGGAACUCCUGGUGUAGCGGUGAAAUGCGCAGAUAUCAGGAAGAACACCGAUGGCGAAGGCAGGUCUCUGGGCCAUUACUGACACUGAGAAGCGAAAGCAUGGGUAGCGAACAGGAUUAGAUACCCUGGUAGUCCAUGCCGUAAACGUUGGGCACUAGGUGUGGGGGACAUUCCACGUUUUUCCGCGCCGUAGCUAACGCAUUAAGUGCCCCGCCUGGGGGAGUACGGCCGCAAGGCUAAACUCAGAGGAUUUGACGGGGGCCCCGCACAGCGGGCGGAGCAUGCUGAUUUAUUUCGAUGCACGCGAGAUUUUACCAGGCUUGACUUGCACUGGACGGCUGCAGAGAUGUGCUUUCUUUGGACUGUGCACGUGAUGCAUGUUGUCGUCAGCUCGUGUCGUGAGAUGUUGGAUUAGUUCCAGCACGACGCACCUCCUUCUAUGUUGCAGCACUUGAUGUGGACUCAUAGAACUGCCGGCUCAUCUCGAGCAGUGAGACGACGUCAAUCUCAUGCCCUUAUGGUCUUGGCCUCAGCGUUCAAUGAUCGUCAAUGGUGCGACUGUAGUAGAAGA